UGUGUAGGCGGAUAAAUUAGCGUUUUGUGAAAUCCCUCGGCUUAACCGAGGAAUUGCUUGACGAACUGUUUAUCUUGAGGCAAGUAGGGGUGCACGGAACUCUUGGUGGAGCGGUGGAAUGCGUAGAUAUCAAGAGGAACGCCAGUGGUGAAGACGGUGCACUGGGCUUGUUCUGACGCUGAGACACGAAAGCGUGGGUAGCAAACAGGAUUAGAUACCCUGGUAGUCC
This 229-nucleotide ribosomal RNA is filed under the name uncultured bacterium. Its description in RNAcentral is "partial 16S ribosomal RNA". It matches the Rfam family "Bacterial small subunit ribosomal RNA", at positions 568 to 796 of the family's 1533-position model. The record is from RNAcentral.